This 458-nucleotide unclassified non-coding RNA is filed under the name Hevea brasiliensis (rubber tree). The record is from RNAcentral. Lineage: Eukaryota; Viridiplantae; Streptophyta; Magnoliopsida; Malpighiales; Euphorbiaceae.
AGGGAUCAAUCCCGUAGCGCUGCCGGAAUGCCGCGAUCGCGCUCUCCUGCCGCGCGAGCUUGCGGCUCAAAGCAUCGAUUUGAGCGCGACGCGUGAGGGCGAGAGCCGCGAUGUUUUCGCGGAAUGUACGCGCAUCCGCGCGUGUCCCUGUCGAGGUGCCAUGUCUGGAUUGUCGGCGCUUGGUGUUCUAUCAGAUUUGUGAACAAACCUCACAGCGAAUUUUUCCGACGCGGUCGCAGCACUUUAUAAGCGGUUGCGCGAACAGGAAAAAAUUUAAGAAUCACGGCUUCAAUGCCGGUCGCUUGGUAGAUCGGCUCUCCCCGAACCAAUUCCCCAAUUUGCCUUCUCAAUUCUCCCGCUUGCCCGGUCUGUUGAUCCGUUUUUUCAGCGGGUGUAGCAGCCGAAGGGUUGCGAAAUUGACCACGCUGAGGACUGCAGCAAUAUCGUAUAGUCCGAAA